RNAcentral lists this transfer RNA (72 nucleotides) under Dreissena polymorpha. It matches the Rfam family "tRNA". From Rfam's summary of the family: Transfer RNA (tRNA) molecules are approximately 80 nucleotides in length. Their secondary structure includes four short double-helical elements and three loops (D, anti-codon, and T loops). The record is from Rfam by way of RNAcentral. Lineage: Eukaryota; Metazoa; Mollusca; Bivalvia; Myida; Dreissenidae.
GGUUCCAUAGUGUAGUGGUUACACGCUCGCUUCAUAUGUGAGAGGCCCAAGGUUCGAACCCCAGUAGAAUUU